This 510-nucleotide ribosomal RNA is filed under the name Anastrangalia sequensi. Its description in RNAcentral is "partial 16S ribosomal RNA". Lineage: Eukaryota; Metazoa; Arthropoda; Insecta; Coleoptera; Cerambycidae. The record is from RNAcentral.
AAAAUUUUAAUGGUCGAACAGACCAAACAUUUUUAGCUUCUGCACCAAAAAUUAAUUUUAAUCCAACAUCGAGGUCGCAAUCUUUUUUUUUAAUUUGGACUCUAAAAAAAAAUUACGCUGUUAUCCCUAAGGUAAUUUUAUCUUUUAAUCAUAAUUAAUGGAUCAAAUAUUCAUAAAUUAAUGUUUUUUUAAAAAAAAAGUUUAUUAAAUUUUUCAAUCACCCCAAUCAAAUAAAAAUUAACUAAUAAAAAUUAAAAUUCUAAAAACUUCAUUAUUUAAAUUUUAUAAAACUCUAUAGGGUCUUCUCGUCUUUUAAAAAAAUUUAAGCUUUUUAACUUAAAAAUAAAAUUCUUUAAUAAUUUAAAUAGAGACAGUUUUUUUCUCAUUCAACCUUUCAUUCCAGCUUUCAAUUAAAAAACUAAUGAUUAUGCUACCUUUGCACAGUCAAAAUACUGCGGCCAUUUAAAUUUUCAGUGGGCAGGCUAGACCUUAAAUUAUCAACGUAAGGCC